Molecule: ribosomal RNA, 523 nt
Filed under: uncultured bacterium
Lineage: Bacteria
Description: bacterial SSU rRNA
Rfam family: Bacterial small subunit ribosomal RNA
Source: RNAcentral
CUACGUGCCAGCAGCCGCGGUAAUACGGAAGGUCCGGGCGUUAUCCGGAUUUAUUGGGUUUAAAGGGAGCGUAGGCUGGAGAUUAAGUGUGUUGUGAAAUGUAGGCGCUCAACGUCUGAUGUGCAGCGCAUACUGGUUCCCUUGAGUACGCGCAACGCCGGCGGAAUUCGUCGUGUAGCGGUGAAAUGCUUAGAUAUGACGAAGAACCCCGAUUGCGAAGGCAGCCGGCGGGAGCGCAACUGACGCUGAAGCUCGAAGGUGCGGGUAUCGAACAGGAUUAGAUACCCUGGUAGUCCGCACGGUAAACGCUGGAUGCCCGCUAUAUGCCCCUUAGGGUAUGUGGCCAAGUGAAAACGUUAAGCAUCCCACCUGGGGAGUACGCCGGCAACGGUGAAACUCAAAGGAAUUGACGGGGGCCCGCACAAGCGGAGGAACAUGUGGUUUAAUUCGAUGAUACGCGAGGAACCUUACCCGGGCUUGAAUUGCUGAGGAAGGCUUCAGAGAUGGAGCUGCCCUUCGGGAY